Molecule: ribosomal RNA, 497 nt
Filed under: uncultured bacterium
Lineage: Bacteria
Description: partial 16S ribosomal RNA
Rfam family: Bacterial small subunit ribosomal RNA
Source: RNAcentral
GACGAACGCUGGCGGCGUGCCUAAUACAUGCAAGUUGAGCGAUGAAGAUUGGUGCUUGCACCAAUUUGAAGAGCAGCGAACGGGUGAGUAACGCGUGGGGAAUCUGCCUUUGAGCGGGGGACAACAUUUGGAAACGAAUGCUAAUACCGCAUAACAACUUUAAACAUAAGUUUUAAGUUUGAAAGAUGCAAUUGCAUCACUCAAAGAUGAUCCCGCGUUGUAUUAGCUAGUUGGUGAGGUAAAGGCUCACCAAGGCGAUGAUACAUAGCCGACCUGAGAGGGUGAUCGGCCACAGUGGGACUGAGACACGGCCCAAACUCCUACGGGAGGCAGCAGUAGGGAAUCUUCGGCAAUGGACGAAAGUCUGACCGAGCAACGCCGCGUGAGUGAAGAAGGGUUUCGGAUCGUAAAACUCGGUUGGUAGAGAAGAACGUUGGUGAGAGUGGAAAGCUCAUCAAGUGACGGUAACUACCCAGAAAGGGACGGCUAACUACGUG